This 77-nucleotide transfer RNA is filed under the name Gammaproteobacteria bacterium SG8_11. RNAcentral's name for it is "tRNA-Val". It matches the Rfam family "tRNA". Rfam says of the family: Transfer RNA (tRNA) molecules are approximately 80 nucleotides in length. Their secondary structure includes four short double-helical elements and three loops (D, anti-codon, and T loops). Further hydrogen bonds mediate the characteristic L-shaped molecular structure. tRNAs have two regions of fundamental functional importance: the anti-codon, which is responsible for specific mRNA codon recognition, and the 3' end, to which the tRNAs corresponding amino acid is attached (by aminoacyl-tRNA synthetases). tRNAs cope with the degeneracy of the genetic code in two manners: having more than one tRNA (with a specific anti-codon) for a particular amino acid; and 'wobble' base-pairing, i.e. permitting non-standard base-pairing at the 3rd anti-codon position. RNAcentral also lists the same sequence under 5 other names. Lineage: Bacteria; Pseudomonadati; Pseudomonadota; Gammaproteobacteria. The record is from RNAcentral.
AGGCGCGUAGCUCAGUUGGUUAGAGCAUCACCUUGACAUGGUGGGGGUCGUUGGUUCGAGUCCAAUCGCGCCUACCA